UGAUAUUUCGGAACUGAGUCUAGUUCCUUCGAUAUCGAUGUAAUCUAGUAAUCAUGAUUUUUUACAUCGAUAUCGAAGGAACUAGACUCAGUUCCGAAAUAUCACA
RNAcentral lists this microRNA precursor (106 nucleotides) under Paramuricea clavata. The record is from RNAcentral. Lineage: Eukaryota; Metazoa; Cnidaria; Anthozoa; Malacalcyonacea; Plexauridae.